RNAcentral lists this ribosomal RNA (255 nucleotides) under uncultured bacterium. RNAcentral describes it as "partial 16S ribosomal RNA". It matches the Rfam family "Bacterial small subunit ribosomal RNA", at positions 74 to 334 of the family's 1533-position model. The record is from RNAcentral.
CAAACUAAAGAUGGCGACCGGCGCACGGGUGAGUAACACGUAUCCAACCUGCCGAUAACUCGGGGAUAGCCUUUCGAAAGAAAGAUUAAUAUCCGAUAGUAUAUUAAAACCGCAUGGUUUUACUAUUAAAGAAUUUCGGUUAUCGAUGGGGAUGCGUUCCAUUAGUUCGUUGGCGGGGUAACGGCCCACCAAGACUACGAUGGAUAGGGGUUCUGAGAGGAAGGUCCCCCACAUUGGAACUGAGACACGGUCCAA